RNAcentral lists this ribosomal RNA (574 nucleotides) under uncultured eukaryote. Its description in RNAcentral is "eukaryotic LSU rRNA". It matches the Rfam family "Eukaryotic large subunit ribosomal RNA", at positions 1088 to 1642 of the family's 3401-position model. The record is from RNAcentral.
CGCCCGAUCGGACCCCGGACGUGAAGUCGACGAUGGUCGGUGGGCUGGUUUUGGUAAGCAGAACGGGCGAUUCGGGAUGAACCGGAAGCGGGGAGAAAGGGCCCGAGAUUGCGUCGACGCGGAUCCCGAAAAGGGCGUCGAUCCGUCGCGACAGCGGGACGGUGGUCAUGGAAGUCGAAAAUCCGCUAAGAAGCGUGUAAAAACGUACCCGCCCAACGGAUCGGCCCCGAAAAUUGAUGGCGCUCGAACGCAACCCUCGAACCCCGCCGACGGAGGCUAGUGGAGGCCCCGUCGAGUAGGCGGACGCGCGGGUCGCUUCGACGCUCCCGCGCGAGCGGGGGCGGAGCGGCCCGUGGUGCAGAUCUUGGUGGUAGUAGCGAUCACCCAGGCGAGAACCCUGAGGGCCGAAGUGGAGAAGGGUUUCUCGAGAACGGCACUCGCUCGAGAGUUAGUCGAUCCUAAGCUGCCGGCGGCAGCCACGAAACGGUCGAUCGGGCGCGAGCCCGGCAGCCACGACCGGGCAGCGAAAGGGAAUUGGGAACCUCCUUCCCAAACCCGGAACCGGAACGAGGGC